This 71-nucleotide transfer RNA is filed under the name Candidatus Pacearchaeota archaeon CG10_big_fil_rev_8_21_14_0_10_32_42. RNAcentral describes it as "tRNA-Thr". The stretch from base 7 to 67 matches the Rfam family "tRNA", at positions 7 to 64 of the family's 71-position model. Rfam says of the family: Transfer RNA (tRNA) molecules are approximately 80 nucleotides in length. Their secondary structure includes four short double-helical elements and three loops (D, anti-codon, and T loops). The record is from RNAcentral. Lineage: Archaea; Nanobdellati.
CCGCAAGUAGCUCAGUUGGUAAGAGUGUUACCUUGGUAAGGUAGAGGUCCCGAGUUCAAAUCUCAGCAGGA